This is a non-coding RNA of Cinara cedri, 399 nucleotides long. NCBI's taxonomy places the organism in Eukaryota, Metazoa, Arthropoda, Insecta, Hemiptera, Aphididae. The record is from the annotation of a GenBank genome assembly.
GAGGCGGCUCGGUUUGCCACUCGUCUUUAUCUGUACACGGUGACACUGCGUGUCGGCCGUCUAGAAAGUUCUAGCACACCCGUGAGAUGCUGCACGUGCCCCAUGGCUCUGUUACCGUUACGGCCUUGAAGGCUGCGUAUGCAAUGCAUCGCGUGAUAAACGUGUAGGUAAUGGUGACGUCACGGUUGACUUAUUUAAAACCACACCGAGAAUUAAAAAAUAUAUAAUUUAUUCAAACCGGACUAGAUAUAUUUAACAAAAUAAAUCAAUCAUAUUGUAUAUCUUUAUGAGUUAUGAUGGUGUAUGUGUUUUUAAAAGGUAUCCAUUAUCUAUCAGAAAUUAUAAUUAUAAUUGUGCGGUUGAAACGAGAAGUGAAAUGUUUGUUUUUAUAUAUAAUUA